CCUACGGGAGGCAGCAGUAAGGAAUAUUGGUCAAUGGAGGCAACUCUGAACCAGCCAUGCCGCGUGCAGGAAGACUGCCCUAUGGGUUGUAAACUGCUUUUAUCCGGGAAUAAACCUGCUUACGUGUAAGUAGCUGAAUGUACCGGAAGAAUAAGGAUCGGCUAACUCCGUGCCAGCAGCCGCGGUAAUACGGAGGAUCCAAGCGUUAUCCGGAUUUAUUGGGUUUAAAGGGUGCGUAGGCGGCCUGUUAAGUCAGGGGUGAAAGACGGUAGCUCAACUAUCGCAGUGCCCUUGAUACUGAUGGGCUUGAAUGGACUAGAGGUAGGCGGAAUGAGACAAGUAGCGGUGAAAUGCAUAGAUAUGUCUCAGAACACCGAUUGCGAAGGCAGCUUACUAUGGUCUUAUUGACGCUGAGGCACGAAAGCGUGGGGAUCAAACAGGAUUAGAUACCCUGGUAGUCCACGCCCUAAACGAUGAACACUCGCUGUUGGCGAUACACAGUCAGCGGCUAAGCGAAAGCGUUAAGCGUUCCACCUGGGGAGUACGCCCGCAAGGGUGAAACGUCGAAAGGAAUUGACGG
This 580-nucleotide ribosomal RNA is filed under the name uncultured bacterium. RNAcentral's name for it is "bacterial SSU rRNA". It matches the Rfam family "Bacterial small subunit ribosomal RNA", at positions 338 to 916 of the family's 1533-position model. The record is from RNAcentral.